Molecule: transfer RNA, 74 nt
Filed under: Nitrososphaerota archaeon
Lineage: Archaea; Thermoproteati; Nitrososphaerota
Also listed under: 1 other name
Description: Thaumarchaeota archaeon tRNA-Tyr
Rfam family: tRNA
About the family: Transfer RNA (tRNA) molecules are approximately 80 nucleotides in length. Their secondary structure includes four short double-helical elements and three loops (D, anti-codon, and T loops).
Source: RNAcentral
CCCAAGCUAGCUCAGCCUGGUAGAGCUUCCGGCUGUAGACCGGGCCGUCGAAGGUUCAACUCCUUCGCUUGGGA